RNAcentral lists this ribosomal RNA (1550 nucleotides) under Enterobacter ludwigii. Its description in RNAcentral is "bacterial SSU rRNA". It matches the Rfam family "Bacterial small subunit ribosomal RNA". The record is from RNAcentral. Lineage: Bacteria; Pseudomonadati; Pseudomonadota; Gammaproteobacteria; Enterobacterales; Enterobacteriaceae.
AAAUUGAAGAGUUUGAUCAUGGCUCAGAUUGAACGCUGGCGGCAGGCCUAACACAUGCAAGUCGAACGGUAGCACAGAGAGCUUGCUCUCGGGUGACGAGUGGCGGACGGGUGAGUAAUGUCUGGGAAACUGCCUGAUGGAGGGGGAUAACUACUGGAAACGGUAGCUAAUACCGCAUAACGUCGCAAGACCAAAGAGGGGGACCUUCGGGCCUCUUGCCAUCAGAUGUGCCCAGAUGGGAUUAGCUAGUAGGUGGGGUAACGGCUCACCUAGGCGACGAUCCCUAGCUGGUCUGAGAGGAUGACCAGCCACACUGGAACUGAGACACGGUCCAGACUCCUACGGGAGGCAGCAGUGGGGAAUAUUGCACAAUGGGCGCAAGCCUGAUGCAGCCAUGCCGCGUGUAUGAAGAAGGCCUUCGGGUUGUAAAGUACUUUCAGCGGGGAGGAAGGUGUUGUGGUUAAUAACCACAGCAAUUGACGUUACCCGCAGAAGAAGCACCGGCUAACUCCGUGCCAGCAGCCGCGGUAAUACGGAGGGUGCAAGCGUUAAUCGGAAUUACUGGGCGUAAAGCGCACGCAGGCGGUCUGUCAAGUCGGAUGUGAAAUCCCCGGGCUCAACCUGGGAACUGCAUUCGAAACUGGCAGGCUAGAGUCUUGUAGAGGGGGGUAGAAUUCCAGGUGUAGCGGUGAAAUGCGUAGAGAUCUGGAGGAAUACCGGUGGCGAAGGCGGCCCCCUGGACAAAGACUGACGCUCAGGUGCGAAAGCGUGGGGAGCAAACAGGAUUAGAUACCCUGGUAGUCCACGCCGUAAACGAUGUCGACUUGGAGGUUGUGCCCUUGAGGCGUGGCUUCCGGAGCUAACGCGUUAAGUCGACCGCCUGGGGAGUACGGCCGCAAGGUUAAAACUCAAAUGAAUUGACGGGGGCCCGCACAAGCGGUGGAGCAUGUGGUUUAAUUCGAUGCAACGCGAAGAACCUUACCUACUCUUGACAUCCAGAGAACUUUCCAGAGAUGGAUUGGUGCCUUCGGGAACUCUGAGACAGGUGCUGCAUGGCUGUCGUCAGCUCGUGUUGUGAAAUGUUGGGUUAAGUCCCGCAACGAGCGCAACCCUUAUCCUUUGUUGCCAGCGGUCCGGCCGGGAACUCAAAGGAGACUGCCAGUGAUAAACUGGAGGAAGGUGGGGAUGACGUCAAGUCAUCAUGGCCCUUACGAGUAGGGCUACACACGUGCUACAAUGGCGCAUACAAAGAGAAGCGAACUCGCGAGAGCAAGCGGACCUCAUAAAGUGCGUCGUAGUCCGGAUUGGAGUCUGCAACUCGACUCCAUGAAGUCGGAAUCGCUAGUAAUCGUAGAUCAGAAUGCUACGGUGAAUACGUUCCCGGGCCUUGUACACACCGCCCGUCACACCAUGGGAGUGGGUUGCAAAAGAAGUAGGUAGCUUAACCUUCGGGAGGGCGCUUACCACUUUGUGAUUCAUGACUGGGGUGAAGUCGUAACAAGGUAACCGUAGGGGAACCUGCGGUUGGAUCACCUCCUUACCUUAAAGAA